CUUUGAUUUGGGGUGGAACAGGGUUAAAAAAACAAUGGAAAGGUUUUGGCCACUACUUUACCAGGAUUCACAUCUUAAAGAGGUCUUGACUACCUUUGUUUCUCUUACAGCAAGAAGGGGUCGAAAUCUCAAAGAUAUCCUGGUACCCAGCCAUCUUUCCACACAAAAUGUUACCAAUACAUGGUUAAAAUCCCCUGCAGUGGGUACUUAUCAGUGUGGUCGCUGUAAAGCGUGUAAAUAUACCAGGAAACAAUCAAAAACUUUUUCAAACUCAGUAAAUUCAGAAACAUACACAACUAAAACUUUCUUAAAUUGUCAGACAGAAGGACUGGUAUAUAAAUACAUACAGAGUAGGUGGAGUGUCUUGGUUCGUGGAUGCAAAAUUGACAACAUCUAGUGCAGUACCAUAAAGUACAUAAAUAGCUUAAUGUAGAAUAUGUGAUUCAGUACUCACAAAAGUAGAGCCAAAGGUAAAUGGCUCAAUUCAAAUGCCUGUGGGAUGAUUAUAAGGGUUCCCACUACCUUUAAGUGCAGCAGCUGUAUCUGGAUUCCUCGAUGGUUUUGUAAAGGAAAACCAUAACCAUUGAGGUAGGUGAGAAGACAAUUCUUCUUUUAAUGAAAAAAAUUUCACAUAAAAUACAGGUAAAACUUCAGAAUACAAAAAAAAGAGUCUCUGAUAAAAAGCCACUCAAUGUGGUAAAGUCAUAAAAAUAGUCCACCAUGGGAUAGCAAGAAGGACUGGUAUACCUCAUUACCUGUAGCUGUAAUUUGAAAUAUGUGGGCAAGACUUUUAGACCAUUUAAAAACCGCAUUUUAGAACAUGUAAACUCUGUUAAUCCAUCUAGACAGACAGAUACACCAAUUUCGCUACAUCUGAAAACUCAACAUAGUGGCUCGGCACAGGGGUUACGGUUCAAUGGCAUUGAAAAAAUCAAAAUGGGCCCAAGAAAGAGAGAUCUAGAUAAAAAACUCCUACAACGAGAAAGUUUUUGGAUUUAUAAAUUAAAGACAUUAUCCCCCUUAGCAAACAAACAGAAGGAUGGGACUGCGCCAGUAAACAAAAUAAGUAAAAUAAAAAAGCCCUGGUUGAGGUAGAACUAUUAAAAUAGAGUCCAGUAUAAUGAAACUUUGGUCUUAUGUUGGUCUCUGAAGUUGUAGAAUUUUGCUCCUUACUGGUAUAUGGAGGAGGGCGAUGGAUGAUGGAAAUGAUGGUGGUAAAGAGUGAUCCAAAAGGUAUCCAAAUAAAAAAGAAGAAAUAAUACUCACUUUUUGUAGAGCUUAUUCCAGCUCUGGUAUGAAUAGCUUGCACCUCCAUAUUGGAGGUGGCAAAAAACAUAUUAGUGGUAAAUAAGCAUUUUUG
Non-coding RNA from Pelobates cultripes (western spadefoot toad), 1360 nucleotides. The record is from the annotation of a GenBank genome assembly. Lineage: Eukaryota; Metazoa; Chordata; Amphibia; Anura; Pelobatidae.